ACCUGGGAUAACAUGGAGCCAAGACUU
This 27-nucleotide non-coding RNA is filed under the name Homo sapiens (human). The record is from RNAcentral. Lineage: Eukaryota; Metazoa; Chordata; Mammalia; Primates; Hominidae.